UACGGAGGGAGCGAACGUUGUUCGGAUUUACUGGGCGUAAAGGGUGUGUAGGCGGUCUUGCAAGUCUGGGGUGAAAUCUCUCGGCUCAACCGGGAAACUGCCUCGGAGACUGCGAGACUUGAGGGCGUGAGAGGAGACUGGAAUUCCUAGUGUAGCGGUGAAAUGCAUAGAUAUUAGGAGGAACACCAGUGGCGAAGGCGAGUCUCUGGCACGCAUCUGACGCUGAGACACGAAAGCCAGGGGAGCGAACGGG
Molecule: ribosomal RNA, 253 nt
Filed under: uncultured bacterium
Lineage: Bacteria
Description: partial 16S ribosomal RNA
Rfam family: Bacterial small subunit ribosomal RNA
Source: RNAcentral